RNAcentral lists this small RNA (117 nucleotides) under Pseudomonas peli. RNAcentral describes it as "Pseudomon-1 RNA". It matches the Rfam family "Pseudomon-1/ErsA RNA". Rfam says of the family: Functions to regulate the AlgC enzyme. RNAcentral also lists the same sequence under 1 other name. The record is from RNAcentral. Lineage: Bacteria; Pseudomonadati; Pseudomonadota; Gammaproteobacteria; Pseudomonadales; Pseudomonadaceae.
AUGCUCCUUUGUUGUGUUAAGUGUUGGCAGAUUCUGGACCCCGCCCUAGCGGUUCGGAUGUUGAACCCCGAAACUUCCCUCCCCCAUAAGAAGUUUCGGGGUUUUUUUUGCCUGCUA